RNAcentral lists this ribosomal RNA (491 nucleotides) under uncultured bacterium. Its description in RNAcentral is "partial 16S ribosomal RNA". It matches the Rfam family "Bacterial small subunit ribosomal RNA", at positions 29 to 506 of the family's 1533-position model. The record is from RNAcentral.
AGUGAACGCUGGCGGUAGGCCUAACACAUGCAAGUCGAACGGCAGCGCAGUAAGAGCUUGCUCUUACGGGUGGCGAGUGGCGGACGGGUGAGGAAUACAUCGGAAUCUACUUUUUCGUGGGGGAUAACGUAGGGAAACUUACGCUAAUACCGCAUACGACCUACGGGUGAAAGCAGGGGAUCUUCGGACCUUGCGCGAUUGAAUGAGCCGAUGUCGGAUUAGCUAGUUGGCGGGGUAAAGGCCCACCAAGGCGACGAUCCGUAGCUGGUCUGAGAGGAUGAUCAGCCACACUGGAACUGAGACACGGUCCAGACUCCUACGGGAGGCAGCAGUGGGGAAUAUUGGACAAUGGGCGCAAGCCUGAUCCGGCCAUACCGCGUGGGUGAAGAAGGCCUUCGGGUUGUAAAGCCCUUUUGUUGGGAAAGAAAAGCAGCAGGUUAAUACCCCGCUGUUCUGACGGUACCCAAAGAAUAAGCACCGGCUAACUUCGU